AAAUGCGAUAAGUAGUGUGAAUUGCAGAAUUCAGUGAAUCAUCGAAUCUUUGAACGCACAUUGCGCCCCUUGGUAUUCCAUGGGGCAUGCCUGUUCGAGCGUCAUUUGUACCCUCAAGCUCUGCUUGGUGUUGGGUGUUUGUCCCGUCUCCGCGCGUGGACUCGCCCCAAAGCGAUUGGCAGCCGGCGUACUGGUCCCGGAGCGCAGCACAUGUCGCGCAAACGAGUGCCUUGGUACGGCGGCGUCCAUAAGCCCCUCUCUCACGCUCUUGACCUCGGAUCAGGUAGGGAUACCCGCUGAACUUAAGC
RNAcentral lists this unclassified non-coding RNA (308 nucleotides) under plant metagenome. RNAcentral's name for it is "partial contains 5.8S ribosomal RNA, internal transcribed spacer 2, and large subunit ribosomal RNA". The stretch from base 1 to 104 matches the Rfam family "5.8S ribosomal RNA", at positions 51 to 154 of the family's 154-position model. The record is from RNAcentral.